This 397-nucleotide ribosomal RNA is filed under the name uncultured bacterium. Its description in RNAcentral is "partial 16S ribosomal RNA". It matches the Rfam family "Bacterial small subunit ribosomal RNA", at positions 523 to 918 of the family's 1533-position model. The record is from RNAcentral.
AUACGUAGGGGGCGAGCGUUGUCCGGAAUGAUUGGGCGUAAAGGGCGCGUAGGCGGCCCGGUAAGUCUGGAGUGAAAGUCCUGCUUUUAAGGUGGGAAUUGCUUUGGAUACUGUCGGGCUUGAGUGCAGGAGAGGUAAGUGGAAUUCCCAGUGUAGCGGUGAAAUGCGUAGAGAUUGGGAGGAACACCAGUGGCGAAGGCGACUUACUGGACUGUAACUGACGCUGAGGCGCGAAAGUGUGGGGAGCAAACAGGAUUAGAUACCCUGGUAGUCCACACUGUAAACGAUGAAUGCUAGGAGUAGGGGGUAUCGACCCCUUCUGUGCCGCAGUUAACACAAUAAGCAUUCCGCCUGGGGAGUACGGCCGCAAGGUUGAAACUCAAAGGAAUUGACGGGG